UUUUCUUUUCCCCCCAGUAUUUAAAAGGGUCAAGAGGAGGCACCAGCACAUUGUGGAGAUGCUGUAGGCUCUUUGCCCCCAUCUGGCAGCGCUGCUGGCUCUCCCACAUCCCUGAUGCCUCUUCCACGCGUAUUAGGUCCUGCCGCCUCUCCUUCUGCACGAGCCUGUCUCACCGUGUUGGAGUCACUGGAUAAAUGGAGACCAAAGCCAAGCUUCUGUGGCCAGCUGUCUGCUUAACCUCUGUACUGAUGGCACCAGCCAUGCAAUGGAGAAUUUGCCCUCAAGAAGUCUUCUCCCAACUGCCUGUUUUUUGCCCUCUGCCUUGCUCAAAGCAUCCUGGUGAGCAUCCUGCUGUCCCACAGAGGGAUGCUUCCCACUUUCUGAAGCCACGUGUUGAAACAAGCAGAUAUCCUCUUCAGCCAUCCCUGUUCAUCGCGGAGGGGCCAGAGCAGCCGGGCUGUGGGAAACGGCUGGAAACUGGGAAACCAUGUACAAUGGUUUGGGAAAAGGCAGUGAUUGGGUAAGACCAUGGUCACAGGUGCUCCACAGCACG
This is a long non-coding RNA of Calidris pugnax (ruff), 553 nucleotides long. RefSeq lists it as uncharacterized. The transcript has 4 exons. Lineage: Eukaryota; Metazoa; Chordata; Aves; Charadriiformes; Scolopacidae. The record is from RefSeq and is a predicted model, not a curated record.